UUCCANGAAGCAGCAGGCGCGUAAAUUACCCAAUGUGGACUCCACGAGGUAGUGACGAGAAAUAUCAAUGCGGGGCACUUCGUGUCUUGCUAUUGGAAUGAGAGCAAUGUAAAACCCUCAUCGAGGAUCAACUGGAGGGCAAGUCUGGUGCCAGCAGCCGCGGUAAUUCCAGCUCCAGAAGCGUAUGCUAAAGUUGUUGCAGUUAAAAAGCUCGUAGUUGAAUUUCUGGCGUGGGAGCCCUGGCCUUUGCGCGAAUGCGCUCUGUUUGCUGUGUGGCUCCUCUGCCAUCCUCGCCAGCUCUUUGGGUUGGCGUCAUUCACUGUAAUUAAAGCAGAGUGUUCCAAGCAGGUCGUAAGAUCUGGAUGUUUAUUAUGGGAUGAUCAGAUAGGACUCGGGUGCUAUUUUGUUGGUUUGCACAUCUGAGUAAUGAUUAAUAGGAACAGUUGGGGGUAUUCGUAUUUAGGAGCUAGAGGUGAAAUUCUUGGAUUUCCGAAAGACGAACUACAGCGAAGGCAUUUACCAAGCAUGUUUUCAUUAAUC
RNAcentral lists this ribosomal RNA (540 nucleotides) under Thraustochytriidae sp. ANACC TC_039. Its description in RNAcentral is "SSU rRNA". It matches the Rfam family "Eukaryotic small subunit ribosomal RNA", at positions 412 to 978 of the family's 1831-position model. The record is from RNAcentral. Lineage: Eukaryota; Bigyra; Thraustochytrida; Thraustochytriidae.